This is a non-coding RNA of Lactuca sativa (garden lettuce), 1855 nucleotides long. The record is from RefSeq and is a predicted model, not a curated record. Lineage: Eukaryota; Viridiplantae; Streptophyta; Magnoliopsida; Asterales; Asteraceae.
GAAUUUUCCCGCUCAAAGUUUCUAUGUGAAGUUCCAAAAACACCCUUUCUACCUCUUAAUAUCCCUAUUUGCGUUCGUUCUCGCUCUGGCAUCGGAAACAAUUAAGAGUUUCCAACUUUUAAUGCUAUAAAUCAGCCUCUAAUUUCCAGAAAUAAGGGAUGUAAUCCCAUAAAAGUGAUUUGGUUUUCAAAUUUCAACCCUAAAGGAUCGCUUCUUCUUCUUCUUAUUCAAUGGUUAUGAUAUAGAUUUGAAGCGAUAAUUGAAGAUGGAGAGUGUUUGGGAAGAACCGCAUGAUGGACUGGUUGCUGGAUGUUUCUAUGAGCUGUUAUCAUCUUUAUUCUUAGAUCCAUCAGUAUGUUUGGUCACCGGGUGAUCUUAUUCUUUUCCCUUUUUUCUUAACCCAAGACACCUUUUGCUUAAUGUCAUUCCAUCUUUCAAAAUAAGAGUUUGUAUGCUUCACUUUUAUAGCCCUUACAAGCAGCUUCAAAGGGACGAGACAAAGACUACAAUAUCCAAUCUUGAAUUUUAAGCUCUAACGAUAGGGCAUGUGACAAAGUGAAUUGAACCAUAAAUGAUGCUUCUCAACCAUUAUAAACACGUCCAUGUGAAUGAAAUUGUUAUUUAAUGUUUUGGAAUUCAAUGGAUAUCAAAUAUGUUUAGAAGCGGAGAAUCUUUUUACCAAAGACAAAAGAAUUCAAGUGGUUUGUUCCCUUAAGGAAAUGACUAAUGCAACUCUUCCUAAUAUCUCAAUGCUCUUGAAACAGAUCAUAAAUUAUAUAAACUAGCCAUAAAGAGAGAAUGCUAACUGUUCGGACCGGUGAUGAAAGUGGUUGCAAACAUGAUGUUUACACCAGUUUCAGCUUUCUGGCUAUAGCAAUUAUUGUGAGUAGUACUCUUUGUAGCUUAGCAUUUGGUUUCUUUGGGCCAAUGUUUGGAAAUUUUAAAGCUUUUAGUGAAAGGGAAUAUCAAUAUGUUUGUUCCCUGUUUUAUCUUAAGCAAACUACUUUCACUUAAAAUAUUAUGUCUAUUGUUUUGUUUAUUAAGUCAACAAAACAUAUGAAACUUUAGACAUUUUAUCAUAAAGGAGUUUUACAUUUUUCAAAAACUUAUUUGAUGUAUGCUUCUAUUCAUUCUUCUCCAUGAUGGUUAGAUGCUAAAGUUGAGAUCAUCAUCGUGUAAAUGUGAUUAUGAUUAUUAUUUUCUUUCUUGAUGUAUAUUGUGAUCUUUUAUGGGGUGGUUUAUUGUUUAGUAUCCACUGCGCUAGGAUUAGUAUGAGUCUUGGUAGACUUUCCAGCAACUCACGGUUAUAACCACUUUGAAAAGUCCAGAGAUGUUGAAAUGGUGGCAUAAUUUGUUUCAUGAUUGUGUGACAUUUAGAGCUUUAGCCAUCUUGCAAAGACUAAUGGUUAUCGAUGGAGCCUUGUUAUGUUCAGUGAUUUCCUUAAUAUUUCAAGGUUUAUUUGAUCGUCUAUAAGAUCACUACAAUAAUGUUAUUUUUAUUAUCUUUUUGUGUCUUUGAAUACAGUUAGCAACUUCUGAUUCAUUUUCAUUGUUGAUAGGAACAACGUUUACAGGGAUGAUAGUAGUUAGUUUUCAAUACAUGAAGUGGUUAUUACAAGCUAUGGUUAUUGUCAUUGAUGAAAAAAUGAUAUAUCUUGAUCAUUCUUUGAUUUACAUGAGGAUUCAGGUAAAUUGUGCUUGCAGGAAGGUAAUGAGGGCACUGUGAGUAUUAGGAUUGGAAGCUUACUUAGAUGGGGAAGGGACCUACUUACACAUUUUAUUAACAUUUUUGCAUUUUAUUUUCUCAGUAACCAUAAAUCUGCCAUGGCUUCAGAAAAUUGUAAUUAUGGAUUUU